Molecule: ribosomal RNA, 441 nt
Filed under: uncultured bacterium
Lineage: Bacteria
Description: partial 16S ribosomal RNA
Rfam family: Bacterial small subunit ribosomal RNA
Source: RNAcentral
CCUAUGGGGGGCAGCAGUCGGGAAUAUUGCGCAAUGGAGGAAACUCUGACGCAGUGACGCCGCGUGCAGGAAGAAUGUUUUCGGAUUGUAAACUGCUUUAGACAGGGGAGAAAAAAGACAGUACCUGUAGUAUAAGCUCCGGCUAACUACGUGCCAGCAGCCGCGGUAAUACGUAGGAAGCAAGCGUUAUCCGGAUUUAUUGGGUGUAAAGGGUGCGUAGACGGAGAAGCAAGUCAGUUGUGAAAUCCCUCGGCUUAACUGAGGAACUGCAACUAAAACUAGUUGCCUUGAGUACUGGUGAGGAAAGUGGAAUUCGUAGUGUAGCGGUGAAAUGCGUAGAUAUUACGAGGAACACCAGUUGCGAAGGCGACCUUCUGGACAGUAACUGACGUUGAGGCACGAAAGUGUGGGGAGCAAACAGGAUUAGAUACCCGGGUAGUC